GUGUCCUCUUUUUUCCUUCUGCAAAAAUUCCAAGUUUCCUUCCCUCGUGGACUUUCAAUCAUACAAUUGGUCCUGUUACUUCCUGGUUUGGUUAGCUCAGUGGAGGUAAACUCGAAAUCCAGUAAUUGCUCAGAGCACCUUACAAAGACGUCUUAUUGAGCAGCAUUGGGAAGUCUGUGAUUGGACAGCCACAGUAUGUCUGGGCGGGGUUAGAAGGGAAAGAUUGGAAAGAC
Non-coding RNA from Pelobates cultripes (western spadefoot toad), 233 nucleotides. Lineage: Eukaryota; Metazoa; Chordata; Amphibia; Anura; Pelobatidae. The record is from the annotation of a GenBank genome assembly.